UUUCCGUAGGUGAACCUGCGGAAGGAUCAUUAGCAAGUUCGAGGACGCCCCAAUCCUGACCCCUCCCGGGGGCGCGGCCGAAGGCGUCCCGACAAACGGUGGUCGAGGCGGUCGAUGUUCUCGCCGCUUCGCCAGCCCACAAACCCUCUCGGUGUACCUUACCCCUGUUGCUUUCCCGGGCGUCGAACCGCCCGGGAAAAGACCAAAGCCAACCUUGUAAUUAGUCGUCUGAUCCGGAUGGCUAGCACGCCGUCCGCAGAAUACAAAAAGUUUAAAACUUUCAACAACGGAUCUCUUGGUUCUC
RNAcentral lists this unclassified non-coding RNA (304 nucleotides) under soil metagenome. RNAcentral describes it as "partial contains small subunit ribosomal RNA, internal transcribed spacer 1, and 5.8S ribosomal RNA". The record is from RNAcentral.